AGAAAGCAAAUAAGGGCGUACGAGGAAUGCCUAGGCUUUCAGAGGCGAUGAAGGACGUGAUAGGCUGCGAUAAGCUUCGGGUAGGUGCCGAAUAACCGCUUGAUCCGAAGAUCUCCCAAUGGGGUAACCCAUCCGCUUGCGGAUAUCCCGACUUGUCGGGAGGCUAACCUGCUGAACUGAAACAUCUUAGUAGGCAGAGGAAGAGAAAACAAUAGUGAUUCCCCCAGUAGUGGCGAGCGAAAAGGGAUUAGCCCAAAUCCAGGUAGUUUCGGCUCCCUGGAGGUUGUAGGACUACCAUCACUGACAAUAAAACUGAAAUGGAAAUAUUUUGGAAAACUUUACCAUAGAAGGUGACAGUCCUGUACAUGUAAGGUUUUUUGUCAAGGUAGUAUCCUGAGUAACGCGGGACCGGAGAAAUCUUGCGUGAAUCUGCCAGCACCAUCUGGUAAGGCUAAAUACUCCUGAAAGACCGAUAGCGAACAAGUACCGUAAGGGAAAGGUGAAAAGAACAGUGAGAAGCUGAGUGAAAUAGAACCUGAAAUCGUACGCCUACAAGCGGUAGGAGUCCCGAUUUAUCGGGAUGACUGCGUGCCUUUUGCAUAAUGAGCCUACGAGUUACUCCUCACUGGCAAGGUUAAUCUUCUAACCGAGAAGCCGUAGCGAAAGCGAGUUCUAACAGAGCGAAUAGUCAGUGGGGGUAGACGCGAAACCUAGUGAUCUACCCAUGGGCAGGAUGAAGUCUCGGUAACACGAGAUGGAGGUCCGAACUUAUUAGCGUUGAAAAGCUACUGGAUGACCUGUGGGUAGGGGUGAAAGGCCAAUCAAACUGGGAAAUAGCUCGUACUCUCCGAAAUGCUUUUAGGAGCAGCCUCGAAGUUAGUGUUAUUGAGGUAGAGCCACUGUUUUGGCUAGGGGGCUUCACCGCCUACCAAACCAAGGCAAACUCCGAAUGCUUUAACAUUUAUUCGGGAGUGAGGCAUCGGGUGCUAAGGUCCGGUGCCAAAAGGGGAACAACCCAGACCACCAGUUAAGGUCCCUAAAUAUAUGCUAAGUUGGUUAAAUGAGGUUCUGUUGCUAAAACAGCCAGGAUGUUGGCUUGGAAGCAGCCAUUCAUUUAAAGAGUGCGUAACAGCUCACUGGUCGAGCGAUAGAGCGCAAAUAAUAAACGGGCAUAAAGCAUAUUACCGAAACUGUGGGGUCGUUUUUAACGACCGGUAGGAGAGCAUUCCUGUUUCUGCAAAGCAUUAUCGCGAGAUAGUGUGGAGAGACAGGAAAAGAAAAUGUAGGCAUAAGUAACGAUAAUACCGGUGAAAAACCGGUACACCGUAAGACUAAGGUUUCCUGAUCAACGUUAAUCGGAUCAGGGUUAGUCGGGCCCUAAGGUGUACCCGAAAGGGGAAACCGAUGGACAACAGGUUAAUAUUCCUGUACUGUGUUCAAUGUGAUGGGGUAACGGAGAAGUGAAAGGUCUGCGUACUGACGGAAUAGUACGUUGAAAAGCGUAGGUAUAUCUCUUUCAGGCAAAUCCGAUAGAGAUGCUGAAACUUGACAGUACCACAAACCUUCGGGCGAGUGGAUAAUGACCCUAAGCAUGCUCCCAAGAAAAUCCUCUAAACUUAAAUUGAACAUUACCCGUACCGUAAACCGACACAGGUAGUCGAGGAGAAUAUCCUAAGGUGCUCGAGUGAUCCACGGCUAAGGAACUCGGCAAAUUGGCCUCGUAACUUCGGGAUAAGAGGCGCCUAACUCCGACUUGUCGGAGAAGGCCGCAGUGAAAUGGCCCAGGCGACUGUUUAGCAAAAACACAGGACUCUGCUAAAUCGUAAGAUGAUGUAUAGGGUCUGACACCUGCCCGGUGCUGGAAGGUUAAGAGGAGAGGUCAUCCCGAGCAAUCGGGAGAAGCUUUGAAUCGAAGCCCCAGUAAACGGCGGCCGUAACUAUAACGGUCCUAAGGUAGCGAAAUUCCUUGUCGGGUAAGUUCCGACCUGCACGAAUGGUGUAACGAUCUGGGCACUGUCUCAGCCGUGAGCUCGGUGAAAUUGUAGUAUCGGUGAAGAUGCCGAUUACCCGCAACGGGACGGAAAGACCCCGUGAACCUUUACUACAACUUAAUAUUGAUUUUGGAUAUGUAAUGUGUAGGAUAGGUGGGAGACUUUGAAGUAAGGGCGCUAGCUCUUAUGGAGUCGUCCUUGAAAUACCACCCUUUAUUUAUCUGAAAUCUAAUCCCGAAUUUUCGGGAGACAGUAUUUGGUGGGUAGUUUGACUGGGGUGGUCGCCUCCAAAAAAGUAACGGAGGCUCCCAAAGGUACCCUCAGUACGGUUGGUAACCGUGCGUUGAGUGCAAUAGCAUAAGGGUGCUUGACUGCAAGACCUACAAGUCGAGCAGAGACGAAAGUCGGGUAUAGUGAUCCGGUGGUUCCGCAUGGAAGGGCCAUCGCUCAUAGGAUAAAAGGUACUCCGGGGAUAACAGGCUGAUCUCCCCCAAGAGCUCACAUCGACGGGGAGGUUUGGCACCUCGAUGUCGGCUCGUCACAUCCUGGGGCUGGAGAAGGUCCCAAGGGUUGGGCUGUUCGCCCAUUAAAGUGGCACGCGAGCUGGGUUCAGAACGUCGUGAGACAGUUCGGUCCCUAUCUGUUGUGGGCGCUAGAAGUUUGAAGAGACCUAACCUUAGUACGAGAGGACCGGGUUGGACAAACCUCUGGUGUACCUGUUGUGACGCCAGUUGCACUGCAGGGUAGCCACGUUUGGACGAGAUAAGCACUGAAAGCAUCUAAGUGCGAAGCUCACUCCAAGAUUAGACUUCUGAUUAAGGGUCGUCAAAGACUAUGACGUUGAUAGGCUGCAGGUGUAAGUACGGUAACGUAUUAAGCUGAGCAGUACUAAUUACCCGUAAGCUUUCUAAAA
This 2904-nucleotide ribosomal RNA is filed under the name Sphingobacteriales bacterium. RNAcentral's name for it is "23S ribosomal RNA". It matches the Rfam family "Bacterial large subunit ribosomal RNA". The record is from RNAcentral. Lineage: Bacteria; Pseudomonadati; Bacteroidota; Sphingobacteriia; Sphingobacteriales.